AUUUUGUUCUACGACCAAAACUGACAAAGUUAUGGGCAAAAUACCAAACAAGGUUUACUGACCGCGCAAACGCAAGCGAUGACGUCACAAUAUCUCAACGCUUGCCGCUGAACCACAGCGCGCCCCGCGCUGUUUAUUCUGUUCGCGAUACUCGUCCAACACGGAGCGUAACGUCACCAGUUUAUACCCAAUCGAUUAAUAAGUGAUUUGAUUUGUUUAAUAUUAUAAUAUAACAAAUCAGUGGUAGAAAUAAGGUAGAUAUCGGUUUUGAGCAAGCGCAAUCCGAUAAUCUACCUAAAUGGUAUUUGAUUAUCUUAGUAAUCAUUUAAACUACACAAGCGCUGAAAUUCGUGGUUGGAAACUUCAGAGGUCAGGGCGUGAAUCAUAUGGUGAUGAAGCUGUGGGAUUUGUUCAAGUGCAAAAAACAGGAGAUAUAUCACACACAUAUAUAGCACAGUCAAAGCAAAAAUUACACCAGAACAUAAAAUAAAAGGUAAAGCUUAUUGCUGCAUUUACUUGUGAUGAAACACAAGAAAUAAUACUAAACAUUGAGUGUCAUGAUUGUGCUGCUCAACUGGGAGGUUGUAAGCACGGUGUAGCAUUUCUUAUGUGGCUUCACAGACGAAGCGAGAAACCAUCCCCAACAGAAAAAAAUGUUAUUGGACUAAGCCUAAAUUAGCUACAGUGGGCACCACUUUAAAAUUUAUAAAGGCUAAAGAUAUGGGAUCAGGCACACCAAAAAAUCAAGAUGACAGUUACGUCAAAGGUCAAUUUGUAGAAGCUGUAAAAAAAACGGUACCAGAACAAUCUAUAUAUAUAUCAUACCCAGCUGGCAGCCUAUUGCGUACCACAAAGCGCGUUAAAAAAAUGUCAUUACAUGUAUUAAUAAGUGAGUUUAGAAAAGAGGGUAUAGAUAUAAACGAUGCAGCUCAUUUUAUUGACUUCUGCUCAAGUCGGAUGACUAUAGAUGACUGUAGCAAAGCAGAAGAAGCAACAUUAUCGCAAGCUGAUUCACCAUUAUGGAGGGAACUAAGAUACUGCAGAGUAACGGCGUCAAAAUUCACGAAACUGCAAACUGCAAGACUGAUGGUGUUUUAGGUGAACAGAUUUUCGGGGCAUCCAUACAGGAGACAGUCGCUAUGGAAAGAGGAAAACGUCUUGUAAAAAUAUUCGCAAAGAGUUUUAAAAAAAGGCGUAAAAUACGUCUAGCGGUUUUCGCGUGAGAAGCGUUCAACAGACAGACAAGAAAUUCAAAAACAAUAUUUUUGGUUUCUAUUGCGUGUAUGGAGCUCUCAUAACUCGAUUAUUCAAAAAAAUAUUCAAUGUAUAGAAUUCACUUUGACUACAGUUUUAUUACCUACAGAUACAUAUUCCCCAAAGCGGGAAUGUUCCGGCAUUGGGAAAUAUUCCCGGGAACGGCACAUUUCAUUUAGUUGAGCCUCAGUACGACCCUGGGUUUUACCAGACUACUGAGGAAGGGUCAUUAGAAAUUUCACUACUUACACUUUUUAUCAUUUAUUUAUUCAUUGAAAUAUACCUAGUACGACCCUGUAUUUUUCUUUAACAUUCGUAAACAAGUUUUACUAAGAUACUGUUUACCACAUGAGUAAUGUAAGGUGUACUGUCACCCCUCUUCAUGACAGUACACCAUUUUUUGCGCACUUUCAGGUCCCUUGGCACAUUAAAAAACAGUUUUUCAGGUGUACUAG
This is a long non-coding RNA of Pieris napi, 1709 nucleotides long. RefSeq lists it as uncharacterized. Lineage: Eukaryota; Metazoa; Arthropoda; Insecta; Lepidoptera; Pieridae. The transcript has 3 exons. The record is from RefSeq and is a predicted model, not a curated record.